Molecule: non-coding RNA, 508 nt
Organism: Pelobates cultripes (western spadefoot toad)
Lineage: Eukaryota; Metazoa; Chordata; Amphibia; Anura; Pelobatidae
Source: the annotation of a GenBank genome assembly
GUGACAUUUGACUUAAUUCUUUUACUUAAGCAUUUUAGUUUUACUUUAUAGGCUUUUUCAGAAUAUGGAAUAUACAAAAAGUAAAAGGAGGAAGUAAGCAGAAGCAGAUUGAGAGAAAAUAAAACGAUUUAGGGGAAAAAAACGUGGUGUCUUGAUUUGGGUUAUAUUUUCAGUUUACAUAUAGAAUUAAAUGGCCAUAAAAUGUUAAGCUUACCUGCCAAUACUAAGGCAAGGAUCUUACAUAGAUUCCUACACUAAGAAAUAUGAUUAAAUGAGAGAAUUACAAAAUGUUACAGGAACAAUAGGUAGAUGAGAACCCUGAUCAAACAAGCUGCAGUCUAGAGGAGUGGAGUAUAAAGACACAUUAGGAAGGGCAUUGAUGGGGACAGCAAACAAACAAGGUGGAAAAGUAGCAGAACUGGAGGUGAGACUGGAGAGAGCCAGAGACAGAUUUGAGACAGAAGUAAACUGUGAGGCCAUAAGCUUUCCAUAAGAGAUAGGUUUUGAG